GGCUCUCCAAUGAUGUAGUCUAUAUCAGUGGGUCUGAGGAGAGGAAGUGUCCAGCGUCUAGACUGCUGCCAUGCUUACCUGCAAUUUAGUCCAGAUGAGAGGUGGGUCUUCUGGAUGCCAGGAGUCAUCAUACAGACAUUAGAGCAUAUACACAGCCCCAGUACCACAUCUCCACAAAGCUUAUCCUGGAACUUCCCUAAAGUACCUGCGGCUUCCUAAUUCUAGAAGAGCCUACAACUCAACUCCACCCACCUGAGAGCCUACUGAUCCUGUUACUUCUUUUCACAAGGCUUGCCCUUUUUCUCCCAUUAGUAAGGUUAGAUCCUCCACUUUUUGGAGCAUCCUAGACUUGCUUCCUCAUUUUAUUCCUUGCCCUUUUUUGACUUUAUUUAGUCCUCAAAACCAUUCUACUUCCCAACUUUUUUUAAAUUUAAUUUUCUGCAAUUACAUAUAGAUAAAA
Molecule: long non-coding RNA, 460 nt
Filed under: Monodelphis domestica (gray short-tailed opossum)
Lineage: Eukaryota; Metazoa; Chordata; Mammalia; Didelphimorphia; Didelphidae
Description: lncRNA (ENSMODG00000037573.1)
Source: RNAcentral